CUUCUUUAGUUUGAAAAGAUCCUUUAUCAUCCUAGUUAAAAAUAAAUUUAUUAUAUAAAAAUUUUUAAUAUAUAAUUUUUAUCUAAAAAAUUUUUAAAAUAAAAAAAUUAUACUUUUUAUUGAUGCAUAAAAAAAUAUUUUAUAUAAUAGGUCGGAGGAAUGGAGUUGCAUGCAAAGAUGGCAACUUAUGGCUCGUUCC
Molecule: long non-coding RNA, 199 nt
Filed under: Elaeis guineensis (African oil palm)
Lineage: Eukaryota; Viridiplantae; Streptophyta; Magnoliopsida; Arecales; Arecaceae
Description: long non-coding RNA (EGUI_LNC017251)
Source: RNAcentral